UACAGAGGGUGCGAGCGUUUAAUCGGAAUUACUGGGCGUAAAGCGCGCGUAGGCGGCUUUGCAAGUCGGGUGUGAAAUCCCCAGGCUUGAACCUGGGAACUGCAUUCGAGACUGCAAUUGGCUAGAGUAGUGGGAGAGGGAAGUGGAAUUUCCGGUGUAGCGGUGAAAUGCGUAGAUAUCGGAAGGAACAUCAGUGGCGAAAGCGACUUCCGUGGACCAAUACUGACGCUCCAUGUGCGAAAGCGUGGGGAGCAAACAGGG
This 261-nucleotide ribosomal RNA is filed under the name uncultured bacterium. Its description in RNAcentral is "partial 16S ribosomal RNA". It matches the Rfam family "Bacterial small subunit ribosomal RNA", at positions 524 to 777 of the family's 1533-position model. The record is from RNAcentral.